Molecule: long non-coding RNA, 497 nt
Filed under: Gossypium barbadense (sea-island cotton)
Lineage: Eukaryota; Viridiplantae; Streptophyta; Magnoliopsida; Malvales; Malvaceae
Description: long non-coding RNA (GBAR_LNC002029)
Source: RNAcentral
AGGCCAUAGUUAGAGCGGCAGUUAAGGUGGUUUUGCCGUGGUCGACAUGGCCGAUGGUCCCGAUGUUAACGUGGGGCUUUUUGCGUUCGAAUUUCCCACGGGCAGCUUUGACGGUGAAAGAAUCGCGACGGCGAGGGAAUACGUAAGUGGUGGCAACGGUAGUGAGGAAAGGAGGGAGGAAGGGAGAGGAGAGGUGGGUAGGGGUUAGUUUAGAGGGAAUUGAGGAGAAAAAGGCAGAGGUGGUGGUUGAGGAGUGAGUUGGGAAAGGGGAGGCGUGUGGGUAUCUAAGCUUAGAAGAAGCGGCAGUGGCUGCUGCUGUUGAUGAAAUUGCCAUUUCCUUGUAGAGGAGAGGAGAAGAGAGGAAAGGAGGGUUUUGGCCUUUGGCUUUGGAAAAUGAAGAAGAGAAGGUAAAAGAGAUUUGGGUUUGUGUUAUCUUAUUCCUCUGUGGCUUUGAGGAUGAGGGUUUGUGAAAUGGACGGACUAAAAAGAAAGGCUAA